AGUGAACGCUGGCGGUAGGCCUAACACAUGCAAGUCGAACGGCAGCACAGUAAGAGCUUGCUCUUACGGGUGGCGAGUGGCGGACGGGUGAGGAAUACAUCGGAAUCUACUUUGUCGGGGGGGAUAACGGAGGGAAACUGACGCUAAUACCGCAUACGACCUACCGGUGAAAGCAAGAGAGCAUCGGACCUUUCGCGACAGAAUGAGCCGAAGUCGGAUUAGCUAGUUGGCAAGGUAAAGGACCACCAAGGCAACGAUCCGUAGCUGACCUGAGAGGAUGAUCGGCCACACUGGAACUGAGACACGGUCCAGACUCCUACGGGAGGCAGCAGUAGGGAAUCUUCCGCAAUGGGCGAAAGCCUGACGGAGCAACGCCGCGUGAGUGAUGAAGGUCUUCGGAUCGUAAAACUCUGUUAUUAGGGAAGAACAAAUGUGUAAGUAACUAUGCCCGUCUUGACGGUACCUAAUCAGAAAGCCACGGCUAACUACGUG
RNAcentral lists this ribosomal RNA (492 nucleotides) under uncultured bacterium. RNAcentral's name for it is "partial 16S ribosomal RNA". It matches the Rfam family "Bacterial small subunit ribosomal RNA", at positions 29 to 507 of the family's 1533-position model. The record is from RNAcentral.